CCUACGGGAGGCAGCAGUAGGGAAUCUUCCACAAUGGGCGAAAGCCUGAUGGAGCAACGCCGCGUGGGUGAAGAAGGUCUUCGGAUCGGUAAACCCUGUUGUUAGAGAAGAAAGUGCGUGAGAGUAACUGUUCACGUUUCGACGGUAUCUAACCAGAAAGCCACGGCUAACUACGUGCCAGCAGCCGCGGUAAUACGUAGGUGGCAAGCGUUGUCCGGAUUUAUUGGGCGUAAAGGGAACGCGGGCGGUCUUUUAAGUCUGAUGUGAAAGCCUUCGGCUUAACCGGAGUAGUGCAUUGGAAACUGGGAGACUUGAGUGCAGAAGAGGAGAGUGGAACUCCAGGUGUAGCGGUGAAAUGCGUAGAUAUAUGGAAGAACACCAGUGGCGAAGGCGGCUCUCUGGUCUGUAACUGACGCUGAGGUUCGAAAGCGUGGGUAGCAAACAGGAUUAGAUACCCCUGUAGUC
This 465-nucleotide ribosomal RNA is filed under the name uncultured bacterium. RNAcentral describes it as "partial 16S ribosomal RNA". It matches the Rfam family "Bacterial small subunit ribosomal RNA", at positions 338 to 795 of the family's 1533-position model. The record is from RNAcentral.